CACAUUUCUGAGAAGAUUAAGAAUUACGUGAAGGAAAACCCACAACUUGUUGAAAAAAUAUCCAUUUGUGAAGAGAAGUGUCCCAUUUCAUUACGUUGUAUAACGGUCUAAAUUCAAAGCAAGCAUCUUAUAUGGAAGAUCAAUGAAGCAAAGAAAUGUGCUCAAGAAAACAAGAGGCAAAACAAGGUUCUCUCUGAAGCACAUAAAUUUAAGGCAGGAGAUCUGAGUGCAGAAUUCAAGGAUUCCAAGCAGAGAGGCUCAAUACCUAAUAAAUGUACCCUGAAAGGAGCUGACAAUGAAAGACAUGAGUGAGUGGAAAGAGAGAAGCAGCUCUCAGCGGCAGAGAAGAAAUUGAAAUCGGCUGCAGAAAAACCAGACAACUACAAAUCAAGGCCCGGAUUUUGGAGAGGGAGAUAGUGGAGCAGAGCAGGGGAGCCGCUCACUUGAAAUACAGAUUGGAGAUAAUGCCCAAAAAGAGGCUGCCUGAGGGAUACAGGCGGCACAAACCAAUUUCGGGAAGACCUGGGAUGCAGAACCCUGCACAGAGAGAUGCGGGACCCGGUUCUGCGGCUCCCCGGAAGGACAGCGGCUCCCGCCCCCCGGAGCAGGCGGCUGCAGCGGCGCAGCAGCAGGCCGUGGGCAAGAGGAAUGUUGAAGCAAGAGGGCCUCCUCCUUUCGAAGGACCAUCUGGCAUGGCCAGCUUUAUGGGGCUGCCCUUUGUUUCCACUCACAGGCUCUGGGCCACCUCCACCUCCUCCACCCCGGUGGCCUCUAGGACCUCACCCUCCACCUUCACCUGCUCCCCUCGGUGAGAUGAUCUGAAGAGUGUAAAGUUGACGUGUAAAGCGUGUUCAUCUUUUUUCAUACGGAAUUUUUGGGAAAAUGUAGAGCUGGUACUGAGGGCUUUGCAAUGCAAGGGUAAACCUGGCUGACGACGCUGUAAUGUUCCUCGAGUUUCUCGAGACAGAUGUCUCAUAGGCUGUGUCAUUUCUCCAUCCUGAGCUGUGGAGAAGGAAAGAGGCUUUUUAUAGAAAGACAGAAAGGAUGGUUCUGCAGAUGCUCAUUGUACAGAGACCACAUGCCAGACUCUGUGAGGAAUGAGGUGCACCCCUAACCUCAAGGGCUUAAUGUGUCCUAGAGCAGAGAGGGACAUUUCCAUUAAAGAGCUUCUAUUCACCAUGAUGGAAGCACCAGUGAAGGGCUCCAGAGAACAAGAGGGGGAGACGUGAAUCUCACCAGGAUGAAACGGGAGGUUGUGGCGGAGAAGGAGGAAUUGAGGAGGGGCCUGGUGGGAGUUGGCUGGGUUCCCUUAGAUGGAGCUGGAAGGCCAUUCCCAGCAGGGCAAGCAGCUUAAGCAGGGAGUGUGAAGCAGAGCCACUCCGUGUUUUCCAGUCACACAGUGUGGGCAAUGCAGUUGUCCUCACCAAGAUGUCACUGUUGCCAUAAAGCCCUUGG
This 1455-nucleotide long non-coding RNA is filed under the name Equus asinus (donkey). RNAcentral's name for it is "lncRNA (ENSEASG00005034636.1)". The record is from RNAcentral. Lineage: Eukaryota; Metazoa; Chordata; Mammalia; Perissodactyla; Equidae.